RNAcentral lists this long non-coding RNA (1606 nucleotides) under Marmota monax (woodchuck). The record is from RNAcentral. Lineage: Eukaryota; Metazoa; Chordata; Mammalia; Rodentia; Sciuridae.
CUCAUUACUCCUCAAUGAAAACAUUGGUAUUCUUUGUAUUUCAUUUGCCCUUUUUUGGUAAUGUUAUUCUUAAAGAAAUGAUUUCAGACAACAAUAACAAAGUUUGAUGAGUCAGUAUAGGAAUGGGGAGAGUACAGAAAUAAGAUUGAGGCAGAACUGUUAGUUUUAGGAAUAUAUCAGAUUCCUUUCUUGGCUUUCUGAACCUUGAAUCCUGAGUGAUGUUAGGAAUGCAUACAACUGAGAAUUUUAUAAAAGAGAGGGUACACAUGAACUCAGUGAAUCCAAACCUCCUAGAGACUUGGUUUACUUGUGAGGCUGUUGUGAGGGUUGAGAUAGUUAAUAUGUAUAAGUUCUUGGUAUGUAAAAAAUGCUCAGUGGGAAUUAUAAUGGAACAAAUUUACUCUUUCAAUCUCCCUUGUGAUUUUCAUCAUUUACUGACCAAAAAAUUGGAUCAACAGCCGCAUGCCUUUAAUUCUGCCUAGUCUUCGGAUUUACAGAUGAUCCCUAAUCAAACUCCCCUUAUUUGUUUAAAAAAAAUUAAAAAUAAGUGAGAAGCAAUUUGGGAGAUACUAAGAGAUUCAAUUCAGGAAAGACUUCUUGAGUAUCUACUAUGUGUUAGCCUUAGAGGAUUCAAAGAGGAAUAAUGCAGAUACAGACCUCCAAAUUUCCCAUCAGGUGCAUUAGGAAAAAAAAAAAAAAAGGAGAAUUAAGGACCUGGGUUCCAGACUCAGAUCUACAAACAACUCAGUGUAUAAAUGACUUAGGCAAGACAGCUAACAUAUGGGUACUAGUUGCUUCAUCUACUGAAUAAUACUAUUGUUAAGGGCCAUUUUUUUUUCGUUUAAAGCAGAGUUUGCUCUGACCAUUGCACAUUGAAUACUGUGUUGUACUUCAUCUGUCCUAACCACCGAAAGCUGUUAAAGAAGCCAUGAACUUUGAGUGAUCCUGGUGAGUUACAGCAAGAUCCUUAGGUCUGAAAAUUUUUCUUUCCUGACUAAUGAAUUAUGGGUCCAAUUUUACCCAUUCAUGUACACAGCUCUGGAUUUAUUCCAGCAUAUUAUUAUUUGUUUUUUCUCCCCAAUGCAAUAGUAUUAAGAAUUGGUGAUCUUAGGAGAUAAUUAGGCUAUCAGGGCUCUUCCCUCAUGAAUGGGAUGAGCACUGUUAUAAAAGGGCUGGAGGGUACUAGCUAGGCUUCUCUUUUCCAUCUCUUCCAUCAUGUGAGGACAAGCACUCCUCCUCUCCAGAGGAUGUAGCAACAAGGUGCCAGCUUGGAAGCAGAGAGACUGGAUCAGCACCAGACAUUGAACCUGCUGGCAUACUGAUCUUGAACUGCCACCCUCUAGAACUGUGAGUUUCCAGAGCUGUGAGAAAUAAAUUUCUGUUCCUUAUAAAUUACCCGGUCUCAGGUAUUUUGUCAUGGCAGUAUAUGAAUUGACUAAGAAGCAUAACAGUUAUGAGAUACUUUCCUUAACAAUGAAAAAACACUCUUUGCCCUCAGCCAACUGUAUAUUCCUUUGCCUGAAAAUAAAAAAUUCAGCUGUGUUUGUUUUGCUUUUUAAUUCUAGUGGCCAUUAUUAUUAUUAUUAUUAUUAUCUGACAAUGUCUU